GAGAUGCUCAGAAGCUCAGAUGAAGCAGUAGCAUCUUGCCUGGCAAUGGGAGCCUUUCCACCACACUGAUGAUGGAUCAUCAGAUUCAGUUUAUUAGAAAUCUUGCUUUUGAAUAACUGAAGCUCAGGUAUUGUGGAAGACCACUUCUGUUCAUCCAAAGAUGACCGUUGGCAUAGAAGCUGUCAGCAGAAGUCCCUACGGUCUGCUGAAACCUGCAUCUUCCAUUUUUCUUGUCCUUGAGGAUAUGAAGAUGGGCAAAAAUAAAAGCCAGACCACUCUUCCGAGCAAUGAGGUGUGUCUCACCGAUGUAAUGCAAGGACAUUCAAUUGUGGAAGUACAUUACUUUUUUCUCAAGUCAGAUCAUCAUAGCACAAAGGUUUUACAAACGAAAAAUGCUUCCUUGUCUUGGAGUUGGGUAAUUAAAAGCUUUUUUCCUGACCACUUCACUGAAGACCGAAGAAGACAUUUUCCAUGUCUCUUUAGUACCUGGAAUUCCAUUUUUUUUUCCAGUGGAAAAGCUGUAAUAUAGUGAACUAACACACACGCGACUUACCUGUGCUCUUUAAAUAAAGCAAUGAUAAUCUUUAUCA
Molecule: long non-coding RNA, 590 nt
Filed under: Anas platyrhynchos platyrhynchos (common mallard)
Lineage: Eukaryota; Metazoa; Chordata; Aves; Anseriformes; Anatidae
Description: lncRNA (ENSAPLG00000023585.1)
Source: RNAcentral